AGCUCCAUGAUAAUUUUGCAUGACCACCACUGAAUGUGCAGUUCCUUGAUUGACCUGUCCUGAUGCAGUGCCUGACUGUAGUUCUGCAGCUCCACUGAAGAAGAGGCACUGAGGACUAGAGGCAGCCAGGGGAUUGCAACUCAAAGAGGUUUUCUAGAACCAGUUACUUCCAAAUUAUGUUCAAUUAGGCAACAGAACUAAAGAAUAUGCCUCUGAUCUACUUAUUUCUCAGCCUGAAUGCUGACUUCAUAGACUUUCAAAACAAAGUAAUAGGUGAGGAGCAAAGGAAGUAGUUCUGCUGACGGUUCAGGACCUGCUGUGUGGGUAGGGUGGUUCACUAGUCAUCCUGAAAGGGAACAAGAGACGAGAGAAGCCAGGGAAAGUCAGGGAGGGAAGACAGAGGAGCCCAGCCACUCACAUUCUUUCUGGCUCCCAGCAAUCACCCAGUCAAAUGUGGGGCUGCUGGUGAGGACAAAAGGACCCGGCAGAACAGGUGCACCUGGGAGGGGGGUUCAGAGCCAAGAGACCAAGAGCCCUCCCUCAGGACAGCCGGGGAGGCCAACUGGACCCCAGACUCAACUCGGCAAAUGGGGGCAACUCCAACGAUCUACUUCCACAACACUGAGUAAUUUCUAGCCACAGAGCCCCACGCAUGCAGUUUUAGUAUUAUAAAAAUGUGAAGACAAAUUAGUCAAGUCAGGGCACUAAAUAAAAUUAAAAAUUCUUGUCCU
Molecule: long non-coding RNA, 731 nt
Organism: Homo sapiens (human)
Lineage: Eukaryota; Metazoa; Chordata; Mammalia; Primates; Hominidae
Product: long intergenic non-protein coding RNA 1796
Source: Ensembl